RNAcentral lists this non-coding RNA (22 nucleotides) under Arabidopsis thaliana (thale cress). Lineage: Eukaryota; Viridiplantae; Streptophyta; Magnoliopsida; Brassicales; Brassicaceae. The record is from RNAcentral.
UAUGUGUGAUGGUGGUAGCUGU